RNAcentral lists this non-coding RNA (88 nucleotides) under Clostridium sp. RNAcentral's name for it is "ZTP sequence". It matches the Rfam family "ZMP/ZTP riboswitch aptamer (pfl RNA motif)". Rfam says of the family: Previously known as pfl RNA. ZMP is also known as AICAR. Lineage: Bacteria; Bacillati; Bacillota; Clostridia; Eubacteriales; Clostridiaceae. RNAcentral also lists the same sequence under 1 other name. The record is from RNAcentral.
CAAGGCCCCUGCGACUGACGGGCUGAUGUGGACUUACCACAGGGGAGCAGGGAAUUGGCCUUUUUUGCCGACCGUCUGGGCAGUGUCG